RNAcentral lists this ribosomal RNA (429 nucleotides) under Acidobacteriota bacterium. RNAcentral describes it as "Acidobacteria bacterium partial 16S ribosomal RNA". It matches the Rfam family "Bacterial small subunit ribosomal RNA", at positions 355 to 776 of the family's 1533-position model. The record is from RNAcentral. Lineage: Bacteria; Pseudomonadati; Acidobacteriota.
UGGGGAAUUUUGGACAAUGGGGGAAACCCUGAUCCAGCCAUCCCGCGUGUGCGAUGAAGGCCUUCGGGUUGUAAAGCACUUUUGGCAGGAAAGAAACGUCAUGGGUUAAUACCCCGUGAAACUGACGGUACCUGCAGAAUAAGCACCGGCUAACUACGUGCCAGCAGCCGCGGUAAUACGUAGGGUGCAAGCGUUAAUCGGAAUUACUGGGCGUAAAGCGUGCGCAGGCGGUUCGGAAAGAAAGAUGUGAAAUCCCAGAGCUCAACUUUGGAACUGCAUUUUUAACUACCGGGCUAGAGUGUGUCAGAGGGAGGUUGAAUUCCGCGUGUAGCAGUGAAAUGCGUCGAUAUGCGGAGGAACACCGAUGGCGAAGGCAGCCUCCUGGGAUAAAACUGACGCUCAUGCACGAAAGCGUGGGGAGCAAACAGG